This 484-nucleotide ribosomal RNA is filed under the name uncultured bacterium. Its description in RNAcentral is "partial 16S ribosomal RNA". It matches the Rfam family "Bacterial small subunit ribosomal RNA", at positions 30 to 507 of the family's 1533-position model. The record is from RNAcentral.
AUUGAACGCUGGCGGCAGGCCUAACACAUGCAAGUCGGGCGGAUGAAGGGAGCUUGCUCCUGUAUUCAGCUGCGGACGGGUGAGUAAGGCCUACGAAGCUACCUGGUAGUUAGGGAUAGCGUCCGUUCACGGGCGCUAAUACCACAUACGUCCUGAUGGAGAACGUGGGGGAUCUUCGGACCUCACGCUAUCAGAUGAGCCUAGGUCGGAUUAGCUAGUUGGUUGGGUAAAGGCCUACCAAGGCGACGAUCCGUAGCUGGUCUGAGAGGAUGAUCAGUCACACUGGAACUGAGACACGGUCCAGACUCCUACGGGAGGCAGCAGUAGGGAAUAUUCGACAAUGGGCGAAAGCCUGACGCAGCCAUGCCGCGUGUGUUAAGAAGGUCUUCGGAUUGUAAAGCACUUUAAGUUGGGAGGAAGGGAAGUAAGAUAAUACCUUGCUGUUUUGACGUUACCUAAAGAAAAAGCACCGGCUAACUUCGUG